UUUUAGCCCCGAUUGCAGUGGAAAUCCUUUUAUUUUUUUCUUUAAGAAAAUAAAAGAUUGAAACGGAAAGCGGGAACCAUG
RNAcentral lists this small RNA (81 nucleotides) under Flavobacterium defluvii. RNAcentral describes it as "Flavo-1 RNA". It matches the Rfam family "Flavo-1 RNA". The record is from RNAcentral. Lineage: Bacteria; Pseudomonadati; Bacteroidota; Flavobacteriia; Flavobacteriales; Flavobacteriaceae.